Molecule: ribosomal RNA, 485 nt
Filed under: uncultured bacterium
Lineage: Bacteria
Description: partial 16S ribosomal RNA
Rfam family: Bacterial small subunit ribosomal RNA
Source: RNAcentral
AUUGAACGCUGGCGGCAUGCCUUACACAUGCAAGUCGAACGGCAGCACGGGUGCUUGCCCCUGGUGGCGAGUGGCGCACGGGUGAGUAAUACAUCGGAACAUGUUCUGUAGUGGGGAUAGCCCGGCGAAAGCCGGAUUAAUACCUCACACGUUCUACGUUUGAACGCGGGGGACCUUCGGGCCUCGCGCUUUAGGGUUGGCCGAUGGCUGAUUAGCUAGUUGGUGGGGUAAAGGCCUACCAAGGCGACGAUCAGUAGCUGGUCUGAGAGGACGACCAGCCACACUGGGACUGAGACACGGCCCAGACUCCUACGGGAGGCAGCAGUGGGGAAUUUUGGACAAUGGGCGAAAGCCUGAUGCAGCAAUGCCGCGUGUGUGAAGAAGGCCUUCGGGUUGUAAAGCACUUUUGUCCGGAAAGAAAUCCUUGGCCCUAAUACGGUCGGGGGAUGACGGUACCGGAAGAAUAAGCACCGGCUAACUACGUG